Molecule: ribosomal RNA, 484 nt
Filed under: uncultured bacterium
Lineage: Bacteria
Description: partial 16S ribosomal RNA
Rfam family: Bacterial small subunit ribosomal RNA
Source: RNAcentral
AUUGAACGCUGGCGGCAGGCCUAACACAUGCAAGUCGAGCGGAUGAAGGGAGCUUGCUCCUGGAUUCAGCGGCGGACGGGUGAGUAAUGCCUAGGAAUCUGCCUGGUAGUGGGGGAUAACGUCCGGAAACGGGCGCUAAUACCGCAUACGUCCGGAGGGAGAAAGUGGGGGAUCUUCGGACCUCACGCUAUCAGAUGAGCCUAGGUCGGAUUAGCUAGUUGGUGGGGUAAAGGCCUACCAAGGCGACGAUCCGUAACUGGUCUGAGAGGAUGAUCAGUCACACUGGAACUGAGACACGGUCUAGACUCCUACGGGAGGCAGCAGUGGGGAAUCUUGGACGAUGGGCGAAAGCCUGAUCCAGCCAUGCCGCGUGUGUGAAGAAGGUCUUCGGAUUGUAAAGCACUUUAAGUUGGGAGGAAGGGCAGUAAGUUAAUCCCUUGCUGUUUUGACGUUACCAACAGAAUAAGCCCCGGCUAACUUCGUG